CUGCAAUGGCGGCAGCUUACACAUGCAGUCGAGCGGAUGAAGUAGCUUGCUACUGGAUUCAGCGGCGGACGGGUGAGUAAUGCUUAGGAAUCUGCCUAUUAGUGGGGGACAACGUUCCGAAAGGAGCGCUAAUACCGCAUACGUCCUACGGGAGAAAGCAGGGGACCUUCGGGCCUUGCGCUAAUAGAUGAGCCUAAGUCGGAUUAGCUAGUUGGUAGGGUAAAGGCCUACCAAGGCGACGAUCUGUAGCGGGUCUGAGAGGAUGAUCCGCCACACUGGGACUGAGACACGGCCCAGACUCCUACGGGAGGCAGCAGUGGGGAAUAUUGGACAAUGGGGGGAACCCUGAUCCAGCCAUGCCGCGUGUGUGAAGAAGGCCUUUUGGUUGUAAAGCACUUUAAGCGAGGAGGAGGCUACCUAGAUUAAUACUUUAGGAUAGUGGACGUUACUCGCAGAAUAAGCACCGGCUAACUCUGUGCCAGCAGCCGCGGUAAUACAGAGGGUGCGAGCGUUAAUCGGAUUUACUGGGCGUAAAGCGUGCGUAGGCGGCCAAUUAAGUCAAAUGUGAAAUCCCCGAGCUUAACUUGGGAAUUGCAUUCGAUACUGGUUGGCUAGAGUAUGGGAGAGGAUGGUAGAAUUCCAGGUGUAGCGGUGAAAUGCGUAGAGAUCUGGAGGAAUACCGAUGGCGAAGGCAGCCAUCUGGCCUAAUACUGACGCUGAGGUACGAAAGCAUGGGGAGCAAACAGGAUUAGAUACCCUGGUAGUCCAUGCCGUAAACGAUGUCUACUAGCCGUUGGGGCCCUUGAGGCUUUAGUGGCGCAGCUAACGCGAUAAGUAGACCGCCUGGGGAGUACGGUCGCAAGACUAAAACUCAAAUGAAUUGACGGGGGCCCGCACAAGCGGUGGAGCAUGUGGUUUAAUUCGAUGCAACGCGAAGAACCUUACCUGGCCUUGACAUACAGAGAACUUUCCAGAGAUGGAUUGUGCCUUCGGACUCUGAUAACAGUGCUGCAUGCUGUCGUCAGCUCGUGUCGUGGGAUGUUGGUUAAGUUCCCGCACGAGCGCACCCUUUUUCUUAUUUGGCUAGCCUUCGGGUGUCUUUAGAAUCUGCCAUGACACCUGAGACGCGGAACGAACGUCAGUCUAUCUAUGUCUCUUACCGAUCAAGGGCUAUAC
RNAcentral lists this ribosomal RNA (1176 nucleotides) under Acinetobacter radioresistens. Its description in RNAcentral is "bacterial SSU rRNA". It matches the Rfam family "Bacterial small subunit ribosomal RNA", at positions 31 to 1219 of the family's 1533-position model. The record is from RNAcentral. Lineage: Bacteria; Pseudomonadati; Pseudomonadota; Gammaproteobacteria; Moraxellales; Moraxellaceae.